CGGGUGAUUAAUAUAUCGGAACGUGCCCAGUCGUGGGGGAUAACGUAGAGAAAUUUACGCUAAUACCGCAUACGAUCUAAGGAUGAAAGCGGGGGAUCGCAAGACCUCGCGCGAUUGGAGCGGCUGAUAUCAGAUUAGGUUGUUGGUGAGGUAAAAGCUCACCAAGCCGACGAUCUGUAGCUGGUUUGAGAGAACGACCAGCCACACUGGGACUGAGACACGGCCCAGACUCCUACGGGAGGCAGCAGUGGGGAAUUUUGGACAAUGGGCGAAAGCCUGAUCCAGCAAUGCCGCGUGCAGGAAGAAGGCCUUCGGGUUGUAAACUGCUUUUGUACGGAACGAAAAGGCUCUUUUUAAUAAAGAGGGCUCAUGACGGUACCGUAAGAAUAAGCACCGGCUAACUACGUGCCAGCAGCCGCGGUAAUACGUAGGGUGCGAGCGUUAAUCGGAAUUACUGGGCGUAAAGCGUGCGCANGCGGUUCUAUAAGACAGAUGUGAAAUCCCCGG
RNAcentral lists this ribosomal RNA (507 nucleotides) under uncultured bacterium. RNAcentral describes it as "bacterial SSU rRNA". It matches the Rfam family "Bacterial small subunit ribosomal RNA", at positions 103 to 606 of the family's 1533-position model. The record is from RNAcentral.